AGCUUUGCGCAGUGGCAGUAUCGUAGCCAAUGAGGUUUAUCCGAGGCGCGAUUAUUGCUAAUUAAAAACGACUAAAGUUGUAAGAUUUAAAACUAUAUUACUAUCUUGGGGGAAGUUGGCAGGUUUUGUAAUUGUAGACAAUGCCAUGAGCA
Molecule: small nuclear RNA, 152 nt
Organism: Rattus norvegicus (Norway rat)
Lineage: Eukaryota; Metazoa; Chordata; Mammalia; Rodentia; Muridae
Product: U4 spliceosomal RNA
Source: Ensembl